GCUCCAAUAGCGUAUAUUUAAGUUGUUGCAGUUAAAAAGCUCGUAGUUGGAUUUCGGUUGCGAACGACCGGUCCGCCGUUUGGUGUGCACUGGUUGGUUGCAGCUUCCUGUAGAGGACACGCUCUGGGGUUAACGCUUCGGACGUGGAGUCUACGUGGUUACUUUGAAAAAAUUAGAGUGUUCAAAGCGGGCUUACGCUU
Molecule: ribosomal RNA, 200 nt
Filed under: uncultured eukaryote
Lineage: Eukaryota
Description: partial 18S ribosomal RNA
Rfam family: Eukaryotic small subunit ribosomal RNA
Source: RNAcentral